RNAcentral lists this ribosomal RNA (330 nucleotides) under uncultured Anaerolineaceae bacterium. RNAcentral describes it as "bacterial SSU rRNA". It matches the Rfam family "Bacterial small subunit ribosomal RNA", at positions 1041 to 1382 of the family's 1533-position model. Lineage: Bacteria; Bacillati; Chloroflexota; Anaerolineae; Anaerolineales; Anaerolineaceae. The record is from RNAcentral.
CUGCAUGGCUGUCGGUCAGGCUCGUGUCGUGAGAUGUCGGUUAAGUCCGCUAACGAGCGCAACCCUCGCUGUGUGUUACAAGUGUCACACGGAACUGCCGGUCAUAAACCGGAGGAAGGUGGGGAUGACGUCAAGUCAGCAUGGCCUUUAUAUCCUGGGCUACACACACGCUACAAUGGGAAGGGACAAUAGGUUGCGAAGCCGCGAGGCGGAGCCAAUCCAGCAAAACUUCCCUCAGUUCAGAUUGCAGGCUGCAACUCGCCUGCAUGAAGUUGGAGUUGCUAGUAAACGCAGGUCAGCCAUACUGCGUUGAAUACGUUCCCGGGGCUU